CAACGAGAUUAAAUGGCAAUGAUACUUCACUAACUAGUACCUUAUUCAUGUAACUAUCAAGACAGCUGGCCACUUGGAAUCCAACUAUAGAAGCCUGCAUGGGA
Molecule: long non-coding RNA, 104 nt
Organism: Xenopus tropicalis (tropical clawed frog)
Lineage: Eukaryota; Metazoa; Chordata; Amphibia; Anura; Pipidae
Exons: 3
Source: RefSeq, a predicted model, not a curated record